AACGCUGAUCUAUAUCAAGAUCAACUCAACGAGAUCUAUAAUAUUUAAUAUAGACAUAUGCAUCGACACCCGCCCUUUUAAAGUUUUUAUAAAUAGAAAGGAUGAGGGGGUUGGAGAUCUCGAAUGUGGUGAUGUUGGAAAAACCAAUGGAUUGGGAAGAUGUUGCAUAUGAGCAUGGAGUAAAUGAAGUGGCUAUGAAAUAAAUUCCAUGCUCAUUAAUGCUUAGAGAGAAAUCCAUGUGGUAUGGUGAAAAUGAUUAGGUGAG
This 265-nucleotide long non-coding RNA is filed under the name Sorghum bicolor (sorghum). Its description in RNAcentral is "long non-coding RNA (SBIC_LNC009935)". Lineage: Eukaryota; Viridiplantae; Streptophyta; Magnoliopsida; Poales; Poaceae. The record is from RNAcentral.